This 218-nucleotide long non-coding RNA is filed under the name Elaeis guineensis (African oil palm). RNAcentral describes it as "long non-coding RNA (EGUI_LNC033471)". Lineage: Eukaryota; Viridiplantae; Streptophyta; Magnoliopsida; Arecales; Arecaceae. The record is from RNAcentral.
AUAUAUUUUUUUCCUAAUAUGAUGACAAACAUAAAAGUUACAUGACGCCCUCAGGAUGAUUCACAGGCAAAUAAAACCAUAACCAAGAAUCCUUCCUCCAUCUACAUAAAUCAACUCUGGAUCGAAUCAUGGUCCAUCAAGAUUCAGUAUAUUUUUAGAACCAGCUUGCCGUUGGACAUCAACCUUCUGGAACUUGAUGCUAAAUUUCCAGCCAAGGU